This is a non-coding RNA of Cricetulus griseus (Chinese hamster), 4034 nucleotides long. Lineage: Eukaryota; Metazoa; Chordata; Mammalia; Rodentia; Cricetidae. The record is from RefSeq and is a predicted model, not a curated record.
GUUUCUUCAUUUUCAUUUAAUGUGUAGGAGUGUUUUUGCCUAUAUGUAUGUGCACCAUAUGCAUGCAAUGCCUGAGGAAGCCAGAAGAGGGCACCAAGUCCUCUAGUCACAGACAACUAUUGGCUGUCAUGUGGGUUCUGGGAGCUGCACUGUGGUCCCUCUGCAAGAGCAGUAAGAGCUUGUUCUUAACUGCUGAUCCACCUCUUCAGCCCUGUGGUUACUUUUUCUUCAGAACAGACUUGAACCAGACAAGACACUGGAGUCUUUGAUCUCACUUCACACUUCUCGGCACCCUGUGUGUUAUGCUGUCACCCUCUGGUGACAGAUGAAAAGGCUGAAGCUACAGGGUGUGUGUGUGGUGCUGUGGUGCAGUUCCUGUCCUUCUUUGUAUGUGUUCCUGACAGGACAUAAUUGGCUUUAAAACAGUGACUUCAGUGGAGUCGCUCCAGUGCUGGAGACAUCCCCAAGGCCUUAGUCUCAAUCCCUACGGCCUGAAAUUGGUUUGGAGUACAACGUUUCUGCUAAAGAGCUAGCAAGCCAGCUCAGGAAGUAAGAAUGCUUGUUGUGUAAGCAUGGAGACCUGAGUCUGAAUUCCCAACACCCAAGUUAAAAACUGUGCAUGGGUGGGCAUGCCUGUUACUCCAGUGUUGGGGCCAGACAGACGUGGACAUUGAAAGCUUGACUGCAAGACUGCCCAGCUGAAAUGGUUGCACUUCUAAUUCAGUGAGAGAUCCCGACUCAUAUUGAUAAGGCGGAGAGCUAAAUACAGGAGAACAAGAAGCCUUUGUCCUCUGGUCCCUGAAUCUGAUGCAUGCUUACAGGUGUGCACAUUUAUGUACAUGCACACUGCAUGCGUGCAUACUGCACACAUACACGCACUGCUAUCACACAUGCACACGCUGCAUACACGCUGCACACAUAUGCACACUGUACACACAUGUCCACACACACCUUGCACACACACACACUGCACAUACAUUGUGCAUACACGCACACUUUUUCAAAAAGCGGGUGGUGGGACUUUCUCAAGAUCUUCCCGUAUUCUCAGCAUACAGCCUUGGCUUCCAUGGUUUUCCAGGGGUUCACAUGAAAUGUUAGUUUCAUCUGCCCAGGUGGAUGUUCUGAAGCCUCACAGAGAAAAUCAAAAUGAGAACAAAGAGAGAGAAAGCUGAGACAUGAGAGAAUAUGCAGAACGAAAGCACAUUAUUACCUAAACUAGCAAAGUAGGGAGGGGAAAUAUUUUCAUUUCUGCAAAGGCCAUGUGUGAGUGCCUACAGGGAAAUCGUAUCCACAGCCUUGUGACUGAACCAAUAACUCAUAUCUGAUUCAGAAGCCGACUUUGUUGGAUUACUGUGCUACAGCUGUUCUCAGUCUACGUCCAGCCUCUCCCAACGGGACUGAUUGUAACAACACGUCUCAUUUAUAGAUCUCAUGUGCAGAGGCCUGGAAACCCAAAUUAAAACCUUAUGGAUGUUACUUUGGUGAAUUCAACUCCAAAGCAUUUUGGCUCCUCUGAACAGGUCAUUUUCAAUGUAGAGGGGUUCUGGAACACAAUGGAAAGGAUGCUUCUUUUGUACUUAGCCUUUUUAUGUGGGGGAUGUGAUUUGACAUAAAAUUAAUAACGGAAUAUAUUCUAGUAGCAUGUUGAGCUGUGGUCAGGCUUAGUAGAGGUUGAAUGGAAAGAGGAGAGGAAAAUGAGCAGAUGGGAAUGAGAUGGGUAGAACUUGGGAACUCAAGUGUUGGUCCUCAGGGAACAUCAGCAGGGGACCCGGACAACAGGACUUGUUCUCUAAGUAUGUUUUCCUAGGCACUGAGACCCAAAAGAUGAGAAACAUCUUGACCAAAGUUACCCCAGUAUGCAAUAGAGGUAGCACUAAGCACUCCAUCUGGAUUCAUUACUCAACUACCCUGUCUAAAAUUGCCUUGAAGUCACUAUGGCAACUUUAGGAAAAUGUAAGGGGAAACAAACACUCGAUAGUGGCUUCCGAGAAAGCAUUCAGCUUUACAGGUCAAGGGAAUUCUUCCAGUUUGUCCCGGGUCAGACAUAUUCUAGUCAGGUGUGGCUUAAUGAGGGUAGGAAAAUGCGAGCAGAUGUAAGGGACGUUUUAGAAAGAGAAAGAGCAGGAUGGACUAGAUUCUGUAGAAGUGGAAAAGGACACUGAGUGAGGACACUGGAUUCAUUCUAGAAAUAUUUUCUUUGUCAAUGUUCAGUGUUUGUCUCACUACUUCCUUUCCUCUAAUCUCUCAUUCUUUCUGGUGCACUAGGGUGAGAUACACAGAGACAGAAACAGCUGCCACAGAGCUUAAGGGAGGAAUGGCUGAGGUUUGCAUGGCUUCUACUUACUACAGAUGCAUACAUACCUUGUGCAUCUAGUCUAGUCUCCACCUCUUCAGGAAAUAGGCAAGAGACACAGAAUGUAUGUAAGCCAUUAUGGUCCUCUGUGAGGAAACUGAGGAAGGAUCUACAUGCACUGCUAUCACACAUGCACACAUGCUUGUACAUACUGCGCGAUUUGUAGAAAAGACUUCCGUUUCUAAAUUAUAUUUUUAUGUGUCUGGGUGCCACAUGCACUCCUAGUGCCCACAGAGGCCAGAAGAGGGUGUUGGAUCAUCUGGCACUAGAAUUACAGAUGAUUGGGAACUGCCAUGUGAGUGCUGAGAAUUGAACCUGGGUCCCCUGGAAGAGCAACCAGUGCUUUUUAACUGCAGAGCCAUUUCUUCAGUCCCAACUAAGAAAGGGCCAUUAAGCUGGUUUAAGCUGAUCUUUAGGAGAAUGAAUGGGAGGUAGCCAAUCAUGGAGGACAGAGGACAAAGAAAGACCACAUGGAAAAAGUGCCUGUUUUUAUCCAGUUAGACUUGUCUAGGGAUUGGGAGAAGAGGGGCCACCAGGAGAAAAUAAGUUGGAGACGUGGCCUGUAACCAAGCUAGAAAGCCAUGCCAAGCCCAGACUCAAUCCCUGAGGCAAUGGGAUGGAAGCAGGGAGAUGUCAUGACAUAAUAAUCCAAGGAGUCAUAUAUUCAGGUGAGCAUCUUAUGAAGUCACUGCCAGCCUAAACAAGAUUCAUUAAAGAAGGGGACAGGACUGAGACCUGGAGACUAGACGUGGAUAUUUGUCAUAGUGUAGAUAGAGAAUGAUCUAGAAGUGGGAGAGGGUUUAGAGGGAGAAGCAACAAGACCUGUGACUGACUUGGUUUUGGAGAAGAAGAGCAAAGCUAAGUUGGGAGGAGAUUAAUUUCAUUCAUCAAAAGCCCCGGUCUAUCUGUGUGCUGCUCUGUGAUGAUUUUUUUUAAGUAAACUCUUCAUUUCAUAGCCAGUUUUCCUCACUGGGAGAGACACAGGCUUACAUUCUGCUGAGUACUAUUAGAAAUUCAAGAAUUAACCUGUUUAUUCCUUUCCUUCUCCAGCUACUUCUACUGUUUUCAUUGUUAAGUUUUUAAAACAUUUAUUUGUGUGUGUGUGUGUGUGUGUGUGUGUGUGUGUGUGUGUGUGUGUUUGCACGCACGUGCGCCCAUAUGCAAUGGCACACAUGUAGAGGUCAGAAGACGACAGCUUUUAGGAACAGAUUCUUUCUUUCCACCUAUAGGAUUUAAUCCCAGGUAUUGAACUGGGGUCCCCAAGCUUGGUGGCUAUUUUCUCUACCCACUGAGCCCCAUUCUUGUUAUUUAUGGAUGACUGUGACAGACAGGGGGAGAAGUAGGGACCUGCUUCCCAAGUAUCUAUGUUUGGUGGUGUCAGACUGAGCUAUGAGCACCUUGUUUUGAGCUGUCUAGUGACCCAUGCCAUGAGCCAACAGAAUGAAUGGAUGGGAUUUCAUUGACUAGAUUUUUUUUUGGUGAGAUUUGUGAAUGAAUGGGCAAGGGACUGACCCUCUUAGUACCUUGCUCUAAUGGUUAGGGUUAGAGUUAGGGUUAGGUUUGGUAAUGAAUUCAAAGGCUCCUCAGCCUUUUCCCUUUCUCUUGGAACCCAGUAGAGUAGAUCCUCAUACACUAAAAGACUUUCUUAGCAUAGCUGUAGCUAGAGGAAUGGUUUUGAGAU